Molecule: ribosomal RNA, 397 nt
Filed under: uncultured bacterium
Lineage: Bacteria
Description: partial 16S ribosomal RNA
Rfam family: Bacterial small subunit ribosomal RNA
Source: RNAcentral
AUACGUAGGGGGCGAGCGUUGUCCGGAAUGAUUGGGCGUAAAGGGCGCGUAGGCGGCCCGGUAAGUCUGGAGUGAAAGUCCUGUUUUUAAGAUGGGAAUUGCUUUGGAUACUGUCGGGCUUGAGUGCAGGAGAGGUAAGUGGAAUUCCCAGUGUAGCGGUGAAAUGCGUAGAGAUUGGGAGGAACACCAGUGGCGAAGGCGACUUACUGGACUGUAACUGACGCUGAGGGGCGAAAGUGUGGGGAGCAAACAGGAUUAGAUACCCUGGUAGUCCACACUGUAAACGAUGAAUGCUAGGUGUAGGGGGUAUCGACCCCUUCUGUGCCGCAGUCAACACAAUAAGCAUUCCGCCUGGGGAGUACGGCCGCAAGGUUGAAACUCAAAGGAAUUGACGGGG